AUGUGUCUCUAGUACACAUUUAUAGUUCACGUAGAAUAAGCCGUUCCGUGUCAUCUGGCCACCAGUAUCGACAGCGUACAGUACUUGCAGCAUUUAAGUAGUAUAGCUAAUUGAGUUGCCGCAUAAACCACGCGAUGCGUUUGGCUAAUUUUCAAACACAAUUUUCACUUAACUACACUUAACAUAAAUUAACUGGAAAUCAUUUCUUUCAAAAUAAUUUCGAGUUGCAUUUGCGCAUGAGACGAGGCGGAGGAUGAGGAUGAGGAAGGGCAUCGGUAGCAGGACCAAGAGCACUGCAGCCGGUACAUACAUAAGUGCACGCACGCAUUGCGCAGCGAAAUGGCCCCGCGGCACCCGAUCCCCAUUCCCCCGUCCCCAAGCCGACCAGUUCGAUACGGUCAGGACACAAAUUGCAGGACAAUCAUCAUCGUCGGCGGCAGAGAGCGUUGCCCAUUAGCUGGCGCAACGCAUAAAAUGCAUUGCAAAGAGGACCAAAAGGAUUUGAGGAAUAAUUUUCACGCCGUGCUUGCUCACACAGAAAGGCAAUCAAAAAUUGUUGACCCAGGCGAGUGGACGAAAGGAGUCAGGUCCUUCUGCUGGAUUUUUGUGUGGUAAUCAACAUCAGAUUGUGUCGGAUGUUCGGAGUGCUGAUAUGCGUGUGGUUUCGUUGUGGAGAGCCGUGACUGAGAGGUGUUCAUUUGCCACCCACUGCCAGCUCUCGUGACACAGCAGUUUAUGUUCCGUCCUGAGGCUUAUGCAAUUUGGUCGAAAUGUUUUUCAACGCCUGGUAAUUGGCGGCAUCAAUUCCGAAAGCCAGUCCUUGUUGUAGACGGGAAGUGGAGAAAGCCAUUGGUGGUAUAGAUGGAUGGAAGGGUAUUUAUACAUGUUGAAGCCAAAUGAAUUAUGUAAUAAGCUGGAUUAUAUGAGAGCGAUAAGCGUGACAACUUCAAUAGUUUCAUAUACAUAUAUAACUCACUUCUACGAACGUGGCAUAAGAUAAUAUUCGCACGAGCGAUAAUACAGGAGAACUUUUAGCACUGACAGUAUUUGACGGUUUGUGGGCGUUAGAGUGGGCGUGGCAAAAAGUUGUAUGGCAAAUCGAGAGAUCUUACUAGACUAACAAAAAUGUGAAAAAAUAUCAAAACAUUUUUCAAAAGUGUGAGCGUGGCAGUUUGAAGCGAUUUGUGGGUGGUAGGGUGGGUAUGGCAAAAAGUUUUUGGGCAAAACGAUAGAAAUUUACAAGUUUAACAAGAAAAUACAAAAAAAUCAACGUAUUUUCUAAAA
Molecule: long non-coding RNA, 1284 nt
Organism: Drosophila teissieri
Lineage: Eukaryota; Metazoa; Arthropoda; Insecta; Diptera; Drosophilidae
Exons: 3
Source: RefSeq, a predicted model, not a curated record